AAAAUGUUUUAUUUUUGCAUAAAAAUUUAUUUUUAAUUUGGUUUACAUGUAAAUUUUUAUAGGGUUUAUUAUUAUUUUUAAUAAAUAAUGAUUUAAUUUUAUUCGCAGUAAUUGGUUUUAAUUAUUAAAGAAAUUUAGAAUUAGGGAUAUUAAUAAGUAUUGGCUAAAUUUGUGCCAGCAGCCGCGGUUAUACAAAAAAUACAAAUAAAUAAUAUUAGUAUUAGUUAAAUUGAAAAUUAUAAAAGAUAAUUAAAUUUAUUAAGUGAAAUUUUAAAUUUAUAUUAUUUUAUAAAAAAAUUAAUUUAAACUAUAAAAUUUUAAAAUUAAACUAGGAUUAGAUACCCUAUUAUUUAAAAUGUAAAAUUAAAAAGCUAGAGUAGUAGUAGUUAUUUUCUUGAAACUUAAAAAAUUUGGCGGUGUUUUAGUCUAUUUAGAGGAACCUGUUCUGUAAUCGAUAAUCCACGUUGGACCUUUCUUAAUUUUGUCAUCAAUUUGUAUACCGUCGUCAUUAGAAUAUCUUAAAAGAGUAAUAAUUUUCUUAAAUUUUUAUUAAAAAUAAUGUCAGAUCAAGGUGCAGUUUAUAGUUAAGUAGAAAUGGGUUACAAUAAAUUUAUUUAAAUGGAUAAUUAAUUGAAAUAAUUAAUUUGAAAGUGGAUUUAAUAGUAAAAUAAUAAAGAUAAUUUAUUUGAUUUUAGCUCUAAAACAUGUACAUAUCGCCCGUCGCUCUCAUUAUUAAAAUGAGAUAAGUCGUAACAUAGUAGGUGUACCGGAAGGUGCCCCUAGAAUGA
This 788-nucleotide non-coding RNA is filed under the name Trichocera sp. Lineage: Eukaryota; Metazoa; Arthropoda; Insecta; Diptera; Trichoceridae. The record is from RNAcentral.